This 5199-nucleotide long non-coding RNA is filed under the name Sus scrofa (pig). Its description in RNAcentral is "lncRNA (ENSSSCG00035051697.1)". Lineage: Eukaryota; Metazoa; Chordata; Mammalia; Artiodactyla; Suidae. The record is from RNAcentral.
AAAGUAAUUUUCCAUGGGCAUUGUUCAGAGUUGCUUUGGUUCUUUUCAAAGCAGUCAACACAUUUUAUAAUAUCCCUGAAAAUCAUUUUAAACUCAAUUUAUUCCAAUCUACUGGCAGACUAUAAAUAUAGCUUUAUCUGUGUAUAGCGGUGAAAACAAAAGAGCAUCACAUUUAGUGAAGAUAUCUGAUAACUGGGAUUUCAAAUUUAAAGAAAGGAAAACAAAGAAGUGCACUCGAUUUUAAUGUUUAGCUUUAACACGGAUGGCCCUAAAACUGGGAAGUAAAUCUAGACUGGUUUGUGGUUUCUCUACCCUUCUGGGAGCCUAAUCAGUUGCUUCAAGCCUUUCUUUGUGCUUCUCAUCUCCUUUCCAGAGCUGAGAAUCUUCCCUCUCAAAUCUUAUCUUUAAAAAGCGAUCAAAUCUGUACUGUUUGUUCCUUAAUAGAAAUGUUCAUUUUAAAAUAAACCCCCUCUUAAGGAUAUUUGCAUUUUAAGACUUAUCUUCAUUAUUCUUAUAAUAAUAACAACAACAGUGGUGGUGGUUGCUGUUAAAAAGGAACAGUCAUACCCUGAAGGAAAUGAGUUAGAAUAACAUUAUAUCAGUAGAUUUUUUUUUGUACUCCUAGCCACAGUUGCUUGGAAAAAAAAGUACCCAUUACAAAUACUUACAUCUUAAAGAGAAAUAAAGAAUUAUUAUACAAAUGCCUUGUUGUGUUAAAAGGAAGAAAAAAUAAUUUAGAAUAUAUACAUGGAUUUAAAAAUGCUCCUCAGGGAGUGCCCGUCAUGGCUCAGUGGUUAACAAAUCCCACUAGGAACAAUGAGGUUGUGGGUUCCAUCCCUGUCCUCGCUCAGUGGGUUAAGGAUCUGGCAUUUCCGUGAGCUGUGGUGUAGGCUGCAGAUGCUGCUCGAAUCCUCCGUUGCUGUGGCUGUGGUGUAGGCCAGCAGCUACGGCUGAGAUUAGACCCCUAGCCUGGGAACCUCCAUAUGCUGAGGGAGCGGCCCUAGAAAAGGCAAAAUAAAGACCCCCCCCCCCAAAAAAAUUUGCUCCUCAGGCCGCCAUCUAGAAUGCAUGACUCAACUCAGAAAUAAGAUCUGAGAGCUCUGAGAAGCAGCAAUUAUUGUGAAUUCACAGAGGUGGUGAUGAUUCCAUGGAGAUGAUAAGACAAAAAUUAGACAUUGAUGGGAUGGAAAAUUUCAUUUAACAAUUCAGUCCAUCUGCACAUUUGAUUUCACAUAGACUGAACAUCGAGAUGAUUGACUUAUUAAACCUAUGACAAAAUGGAUUUCAGGUUUUUGCUAUUUUGGCUUUACAACAUAUGUUAGAAAGAGUUGAGAAAAUAUUUCUUUAGAGGGGGAUCUUUUAACAUGAGGAGAGAUUAAAGGAGUUAAUUUUGAGUUGCUUCAAUUUAUUCAGACAAGCCUUUUAACCUGAUCACUUAAAUUUCAACUCUUGCUGCCUUCAGACUUACUUUGCACAUGAAUUGCUUCCUUGUAACACUCUAUAGCUUCCUCCAGACUUCACUUCCUUCUAAAUUAUUUAAUUAUUUAAAUGACCAGGAUUAUUUAACAAUCCUGAUUUUUUUUCUCCUCUACCUUCAAAAAGGUAGGAGAAAAAAUCCUACCUUUUUUUCUCCUCUACCUUCAUUGACUGCCACUGCCCCUACUUCUGAGUCACUCUCUUAACCUCUGCAGUCUGACCACUGACCUUACUCUGUGUAAGAGAAUGUUGCCGGCCAAAGCAAAAGACUGUCUAGGAAUUCCCAUUGUAGUUCAGCAGGUUAAGGACGCAGUGUUGUCUCUGAAGAUACAGGUUCGAUCCCUGGCCUGGCUCAGUGGGUUAUGCACAAGUUGCAGCACAGGUCUUAGAUGCGGCUUGGAUCCAGUGUUGCCAUGGCUGAGCAAAUAUAAAGAUGCUCUCCUUUCUGUCUCCUCAAGCUCAGAACCUCACUACUUUUCCUACUCCCAGAAUUUCUAUGCUACUGGAGGUUCUGUGCUACUGGAGGUUCCCACUGUGAACUAUUCCUAGGGCCCUAGCAGUCAUCAUUUUACACAAUUUGUUCCUGUUCUACUCUUCUGGGUUUGUCUCUUUCUCUUUCCUUUCUCCAUCUGAGAUUCUGGCUGAAGAAAAAACUCCCUGUGCCCCAAACAUGUGCCAUAUUUUCCCAUCUUAGGUCACUGCUUACCAUUGACUCCAUCUAUAAUGUUCAGCCCCAUCAUUUCUACCCAUCAAAAUCCUACCCAUCCUUCAAGCCCAGAUCAACUCUUCAACAGAUAAAGGACUAACUUAAUAGAGGCCUCGGGACGAUCUUGAUCACGGUCACACAGCCAAGAUUCUUGGUAUGAUCUAAAGUCUGCCAGCAGUGCUGCCCUUUAAAUAGAUCAGCACUGCACAUUGGUAAUCAGCAUCCACAGAAAUUCCCAUAGUUUAGCUUAUCAAAUGUCAAAAGAAAAAUAUACACCCAAGGUUCCUAUAUCCAAAUCAUAAAUUUCUUCUGCAAGUACAGCACUAAUCAAAAAGUGCUCAAGACUUCCUAUCUGAGCCGCAAAGUCAGUGUCCUACCUGCCUUCCUGGUCUUAGCUCUCUGUUUUCAACUUUCUCCUCUCUCUCUUUCUCAUUUAUUGAUUUUAGUACCUUUCCUGCUACUGGUUUAUGUGUCAUAAUCCUGUAGGGAAUCGAGUAGAUGCUUCCAAUUAGAUUCAUUACAAGUUCCCUCAAGAAGUGAUUAGGAAGGUAGAAUCCCAAGUGGCUGAUUCCUUCAGUAAUCCCAGCAGCAUUUUUGGGGUGCUUGCCAAAACUAGACCAGGUUUUAAAAGCUGCACUUACCAGUCUAUCAUGAAGAGAUACUGGGAAGCUUGCAAAACUGCGAGUGCAAUUGUGCUUUACUGAAGGCCCUCAUAUGGCAAUAACAAGGAAAGCUGAAAUAUGAAAGCCUCAUCGAAGGGCAGUUCCGAGAGGUGGUUAAUUAGUGCACUGGUCUAUGUAGUAAGAUGAUGCUGGGUUUAAAUUUUAGUGACACCACUCACCAGCUGUAAGACUUGGGCAAAUUACUUAAAUUCUCUGAGACUCAAUUUUCUUAUCUGUAAAAGGGGAUAAUAAGAGCACUUUGGGGAGAAUCAAGUCUGCACAGUACUUGGCUACAGUGUUCAAAUAAAUGGAAGCUAUUAUCAUUACCAUGGGAAAUGACAUUCUAGUGAAUCAUGAAUUGCUUCCCAUUCCAAAACCAAGACCUUGACAUUGCUAAGCUAUUUGUGAGCACUUUAGGCAAUAAGGAAGAUGGAAAGUAAGGGAAAGGAAAAUGGGAGAGCAGAGGUUUUCCUAUUCUCAGUGCUUCCAGGCCCUCAUUGUUGCCAAACACUUUAUAUAAUUGAGAUACUAUUGUAAAAACAUUUUUCUUUCUCUCCUUUUAUAAAUCUGGUUUCCUGUAGCCAUUUAGUAAGUAUAGCCUGAGAAAAUCCUUAAUCAAGAUAAAGGAAAACAUGAUGUAAAUGAAUUCCUUCCUUCUGGCCUGAUAGAUUACAGGAAAAAUAACAGAAGGCAAAAGGACAUGCAAGUAUGUCCUCUCCAGGGUCACAAUUUGGAAGAAGAUGGAAGGAGAGAUGGAACAUAAACUGAGGGAGAACCAGACACACAAGCAGAGGGAACAUGUGCCCUAGUCUUUGUUCAGAACUCUGAGAGGCCCAUCUCUCUUGUCACAAUGGAGUGCACAAGCCCAGACACUGCGCUCACAGAGAAGUGGGAAAUGCACAGAAAGGAAACUGAAAAAUUGGCUCAUCUAUCCUCUUUGGAAAAUAAUUGUUCACAAAUAGAAGUGUGGUCUUUGCUGAGAAGUAAUCUCUAAACCUUGGAAUGUCCUGCCUGAUAAGAGUGUCUUUGUUUACCUGGGAGCUGCAGAGCACACGGGAUAGUCUAUGCUAACAAUAUGAUUCAUGGUGGGGCCUUUGGGCCACCUCAUCAGCUCCAUCUCUGGGAGAGGCUGGAAGCUAAGAUGCAGGUGGUCAACCAUAAUUAUGUGACAGAGUGCCAGUAAAAACUCUGGAGAUCAUGGCUCAGGCGAGAUUCACAGGCUGGCAACACUGCACACUGUUACACGCCGUGGCUGGGAGGAGUUAGCACUGUCAGAGACUCCACUGGGAGAGGGCCACUAGAAGGUUUGUGUUUGAAAUUCUGGACUCUGCCCCAGGCAUCGCUUCCCUUGGCCAAUUUUAAUCUGUAACUUUUUGCUAUAAUAAGCUGUAAUCACGAGUAAGACAGAGUUCAGUGAGUUCUGUGAAUCUUCCAGUAAAUUAUUGAAAUGGAAGUUGGUCUUAGGGACUCUCAAACACCCCAAAGAGACUGAGUUACCUAGCAUGACCAGUGAGGGAAAUUAUAUCCAUUAGAGAAAAUUAAGAAGCCUCAUAGUCUUGCCGACUUUGAGUGAUAUUGUAUAAAUGUGUGAACCUACUACCCAAUUGAGGAAAGAUUCUUUACCACUCUGAAUGAAUCAUGGUUGAGGAGUUCCCUGGUGGCUCAGUGGAUUAAGGAUACAGUGUGUCACUGCUGGGGCUUGGGUCACUGCUGUGAUGCAAAUUCAGUCUCUGGCCUGGGCACUUCUUCAUGCCAUGAGCAUGGCCAAAAAGAAAAAGAAAAAGAAAAAAGAAAAAAAAGAAACAUGGAUGAAAGAAUCAGGGUUGGUAAGUCUUUCUUCCCUUAAAGUAAGAAAGAGGACAUGAGGACUGCCUUCGAAUGUUUUAAAAGCUGUCAUGUGAGAAAGAACUAGAAUUAGUUUGUCUGGCUAGAGGGUUAUAUAAAGCCCAACUGAGGGAAGUUAAGAAGGGCCAGGUUUCAGUUUAUUCUAAGCACAAACUUAGUGACAACCAGAGGCCCCUAAAAACAGAAGGGGCUGGCUCAAAGACAGUCGAGCUCUCCAUUACCAGAGAUCUGGAAGUAGAGGCUGGAUGACCCCUUGGGGUGAGUUUGCGUAUGAGGUGACAGUUGAAUCAAAUGUCCUUUUCAGUUACAUUCCAAGCUGAAAGGCUACGAUUGGGAUAUAAGGGAAUGUGGCAAAAUGGUGAGCCUAUAUAUGGGUAUAUUAUUCUUUAAAUAUUUCUCUAGGUUUGAUUUUUUUUAAGUUGGAAAACCAACUAAAGAGGAAAUUAUUUAGUGGCUGAAAGUCUUCAGUCAUUCUAGAAAGGAACAGAAUUUUGCCUUUUUUUUUUUUUU